AACGAACGCUGGCGGCAUGCCUAACACAUGCAAGUCGAACGAGACCUUCGGGUCUAGUGGCGCACGGGUGCGUAACGCGUGGGAACCUGCCUUUAGGUUCGGAAUAACUCAGAGAAAUUUGAGCUAAUACCGGAUGAUGUCUUCGGACCAAAGAUUUAUCGCCUUUAGAUGGGCCCGCGUUGGAGUAGCUAGUUGGUGGGGUAAAGGCCUACCAAGGCGACGAUCCAUAGUUGGUCUGAGAGGAUGAUCCGCCACACUGGGACUGAGACACGGCCCAGACUCCUACCGAGCGCAGCGGUGAGGAAUAUUAGACGCUGGGCGAAAACCUGAUCCCUCUCCGCCGCGUGAGUCAGACUGGCCUUAAGGUUGUAAAGCACUUUUACCCGAAAUGAUAAUGACAGUAUCGGCAGAAUAAGCCCCGGCUAACUCCGUG
This 433-nucleotide ribosomal RNA is filed under the name uncultured bacterium. RNAcentral's name for it is "partial 16S ribosomal RNA". It matches the Rfam family "Bacterial small subunit ribosomal RNA", at positions 29 to 507 of the family's 1533-position model. The record is from RNAcentral.